This 450-nucleotide ribosomal RNA is filed under the name uncultured bacterium. Its description in RNAcentral is "partial 16S ribosomal RNA". It matches the Rfam family "Bacterial small subunit ribosomal RNA", at positions 354 to 796 of the family's 1533-position model. The record is from RNAcentral.
GUGGGGAAUCUUCCGCAAUGGACGAAAGUCUGACGGAGCAACGCCGCGUGAGUGAUGAAGGUCUUCGGAUUGUAAAGCUCUGUUAAUCGGGACGAAAGAGCCUAGUGUGAAUAAUGCUAGGAAGUGACGGUACCGGAAUAGAAAGCCACGGCUAACUACGUGCCAGCAGCCGCGGUAAUACGUAGGUGGCAAGCGUUGUCCGGAAUUAUUGGGCGUAAAGCGCGCGCAGGCGGAUCUGCCAGUCUGUCUUAAAAGUUCGGGGCUUAAACCCGUGAUGGGAUGGAAACUACAGAUCUAGAGUAUCGGAGAGGAAAGUGGAAUUCCUAGUGUAGCGGUGAAAUGCGUAGAUAUUAGGAAGAACACCAGUGGCGAAGGCGACUUUCUGGACGAAAACUGACGCUGAGGCGCGAAAGCCAGGGGAGCGAACGGGAUUAGAAACCCCGGUAGUCC